CAGUAGCCGCGGGAAUACGUAGGGUGCGAGCGUUAAUCGGAAUUACUGGGCGUAAAGCGUGCGUAGGUGGUGGUUUAAGUCCGCUGUGAAAUCCCCGGGCUCAACCUGGGAAUGGCAAUGGAUACUGGCAAGCUAGAGUGUGUCAGAGGAUGGUGGAAUUCCCGGUGUAGCGGUGAAAUGCGUAGAGAUCGGGAGGAACAUCAGUGGCGAAGGCGGCCAUCUGGGACAACACUGACGCUGAGGCACGAAAGCGUGGGGAGCAAACAGGAUUAGAUACCCGAGUAGUCCCUGUCUCUUUACC
This 301-nucleotide ribosomal RNA is filed under the name uncultured bacterium. Its description in RNAcentral is "partial 16S ribosomal RNA". It matches the Rfam family "Bacterial small subunit ribosomal RNA", at positions 509 to 808 of the family's 1533-position model. The record is from RNAcentral.